UACAUGUGGUGAGAUGUAUUGCGUUCAGUUGCGUCUCAUUUGAUUGAUUGCGUUCAUCAUCAGUACAUAAGCGGGCACCUGGUGGAUUGCAUGUAUGGUGUGAAGAACUGGCGAUAUUCAGGCACCAGAUCUUGUGUAGGGGGAAGUUGCAUCUCAGAUGAUUGGAAGCUAAUCGUGUAACGAUUCCGGUUCAUUUCUUACUAAGGAAUAAGUCGGUUGCAACUGUGAGGGGACCCCUUCGCAGAAUCCUAUCAUGUGACCAUGGUUGGAUCAAUCCAGCCCCAGCAAAAUUUUCUGAACGUAGGAAUGCUGUCGGCCCUCAAAUAGCGCAGCCACUGCAAAGGUAACAAACAUGGAGUUUGUAUUGUGUUUCCACCGAUGGUUAAUAUAAAUGGUUGUGAGGUUGAAUCUUCAUUUUAAUCAUUUAACUCCUGAAAUUCAUAUCCUAUUCUAUUGGUAAUGGCUUAGUUUGCAGAAGACGUCACUCUAAACACUGCAAAGAUGAAUUAAGCAAAUUAUUCAAAAUGGUGCAUGUAGGUGAAGUUGUAAGGUAGUUACAAGAAUCCUUCAUUAAUUAAUUAAAACGAUUGAAAAAUGAAAAGAUUAAUAUAAAUUAAUAUAUUUUUGUAAGGAAUUAUUUUAGGAAAAAAUACCAAAUCCAUGUCUGAUCAACACAACCAAAAUUCAUAGUAAAAUUAGCUUUAUUUAUUUGAUUA
This is a non-coding RNA of Physcomitrium patens, 716 nucleotides long. The record is from RefSeq and is a predicted model, not a curated record. NCBI's taxonomy places the organism in Eukaryota, Viridiplantae, Streptophyta, Bryopsida, Funariales, Funariaceae.